CGGAAGGAUCAUUGUCAAAUCCUUGUACCGAAUGACCCGCGAACACGUUCCGAAAAUCACAAGCGCUGUUGCGCCCUUGGUCGGUGCGGGUCGGUGACUUGUUGCCGGACGCGUCGAGCAUGGAAAACAAAAUCCGGCGCGGGAAGCGCCAAGGACUAGCGAAAUAGAGGAUGGCCUUCCCGCGGCGUCCUGGCAUGCCGCGGGGAUUAAAGGGUCUCCAAAUGAAAAUGUUGUACACAGUACGACUCUCGGCAACGGAUAUCUAGGCUCUCGCAUCGAUGAAGAACGUAGCAAACUGCGAUAGUUGGUGUGAAUUGCAGAAUCCCGCGAACCAUGGAGUCUUUGAACGCAAGUUGCGCCCGAAGCCGUUAGGCCGAGGGCACGUCUGCCUGGGCGUCACGCAUUGCGUCGUGCCCCCCUCACCCGCGUCCCGAAAGGGUCGCGGGCCUUAGGGGCGGGGGCGGAAGUUGGCUUCCCGUGCAGCGUUUGCGGCUAGCCUGAAACAACGGUUCCCUCGGCGCGGACGUCGCGACAAGUGGUGGUCCGUCGAGAUUGUACGCGAGUUGCCGGCAAGCUGCGUCGAGGAGAGCAUUUGGACCCUGUGCGAGACGAGUCCCUUCGGCGAGGGGCAAUCGCAACGAUUGCGACCCCAGGUCAGGC
This 660-nucleotide small RNA is filed under the name Vincetoxicum creticum. RNAcentral describes it as "eukaryotic LSU rRNA". The stretch from base 244 to 399 matches the Rfam family "5.8S ribosomal RNA". Lineage: Eukaryota; Viridiplantae; Streptophyta; Magnoliopsida; Gentianales; Apocynaceae. The record is from RNAcentral.